UGGGGAAUUUUGGACAAUGGGCGAAAGCCUGAUCCAGCAAUGCCGCGUGUGUGAAGAAGGCCUUCGGGUUGUAAAGCACUUUUGUCCGGAAAGAAAUCCUUGGCUCUAAUACAGUCGGGGGAUGACGGUACCGGAAGAAUAAGCACCGGCUAACUACGUGCCAGCAGCCGCGGUAAUACGUAGGGUGCAAGCGUUAAUCGGAAUUACUGGGCGUAAAGCGUGCGCAGGCGGUUUGCUAAGACCGAUGUGAAAUCCCCGGGCUCAACCUGGGAACUGCAUUGGUGACUGGCAGGCUAGAGUAUGGCAGAGGGGGGUAGAAUUCCACGUGUAGCAGUGAAAUGCGUAGAGAUGUGGAGGAAUACCGAUGGCGAAGGCAGCCCCCUGGGCCAAUACUGACGCUCAUGCACGAAAGCGUGGGGAGCAAAACAGGAUUAGAUACCCUGGUAGUCCACGCCCUAAACGAUGUCAACUAGUUGUUGGGGAUUCAUUUCCUUAGUAACGUAGCUAACGCGUGAAGUUGACCGCCUGGGGAGUACGGUCGCAAGAUUAAAACUUAAAGGAAUUGACGGGGUC
RNAcentral lists this ribosomal RNA (573 nucleotides) under uncultured bacterium. Its description in RNAcentral is "partial 16S ribosomal RNA". It matches the Rfam family "Bacterial small subunit ribosomal RNA", at positions 355 to 920 of the family's 1533-position model. The record is from RNAcentral.